UGGACAGGGAGACAGGUGGUGGCGAUGGUUGUCGUUCAGCUCGUGUCGUGAGAUGUUGGGUUAAGUCCCGCAACGAGCGCAACCCCACGUUUAGUUGCUAACGCGUGAAGGCGAGCACUCUAGACGAACUGCCGUUGACAAAACGGAGGAAGUGGGGAUGACGUCAAAUCAUCAUGCCCCUUAUGUUCUGGGCUACACACGUGCUACAAUGGCCGGUACAGACGGACGCAAAGCCGCGAGGUGGAGCAAAUCCUAAAAAGCCGGUCUCAGUUCGGAUUGCAGGCUGCAAUUCGCCUGCAUGAAGUCGGAAUCGCUAGUAAUCGCAGGUCAGCAUACUGCGGUCGAAUACGUUCCCGGCCUU
RNAcentral lists this ribosomal RNA (361 nucleotides) under uncultured Pelotomaculum sp. Its description in RNAcentral is "bacterial SSU rRNA". It matches the Rfam family "Bacterial small subunit ribosomal RNA", at positions 1023 to 1381 of the family's 1533-position model. The record is from RNAcentral. Lineage: Bacteria; Bacillati; Bacillota; Clostridia; Eubacteriales; Desulfotomaculaceae.